Equus caballus (horse) is the source of this 470-nucleotide long non-coding RNA. RefSeq lists it as uncharacterized. The record is from RefSeq and is a predicted model, not a curated record. NCBI's taxonomy places the organism in Eukaryota, Metazoa, Chordata, Mammalia, Perissodactyla, Equidae.
GUCCCCGGAGCCCCAACACACUAGAGUGGUAGCGGCACAUCUCAGCAGCGUCCCACCCCGAGAGGGGCCUCCAGGGGACUGGCACGUGGGAGGGCCUUCACCAGAUGGUGUCACCGUUCUAUUAGGCUGACAGGGAACUUGGGAAGACCAGAGAGCCCCAGGGGCGUGAGCUCACUGCCACAGUUCAUCAGCUCUAAGAUGGGUCCUCGGUGUGCCGCAUGUCCAACAGGAAGGAAGGUGGAAGCAGAGAGAGAUUUGGUUACAGAAGAAGAGAAGGUGAGGUGACCACGGAGGCAGAGACUGGAGUGAUGCAGCCAGAAGCCAAGGAGUGCUGGACGUUGGACGAGGCAAGGGACAAAUUCUCCCCUGGAAACCCCAGGAGGAAGCACUCCUGCUAACACCUUGAUUUUAGCCCCGUAAGACAGCUUGCGUGUCCAGAGCUGUAAGAGAAUAAACUUCCGUUGUUCUAA